AUCUCCUAUAGUUGGACAUUAUUAUGUCAGACUGUCAAGGGGGAUGUAUUGGUUCCCGGAGCUGGGAAAUGGGUCUUCUGGAUGAUGACUUGCAGUUUACUCACACAGGAUUUCACUGGAGAAUAAUGAAGGAGAUGGGAAAGGGUAGCAAAAGAAGAUUGGAAACUCUAUAGACUUCAGUUAGUUUGGUUCUGUGAGGAGAAAUUUGUGCCUGAGAUCAAAGAUGACCCUUUCUCCAUUUCUUCCUCCCCCUUUUUUUCUUUUCAGCUUCCAGACAAAUCUUCAAGAUAUGACCUAUUCUUUGCCCUUUGAAGGCUGUGGCAAUGAGCUCAGCCAGAAUGACCUUUCCCAGCCUCCGAAACUUUCUCACAGGGAAGCAGAAAUCAACCCAAGGGACCAUCUUAGCCCCAGCGUAGCAACUUACAUGCUCCAAAAUCAGAAACAAUCACUCAACAGCUCACUUAUUAGCAGGAGAGCACUAGGGGUCAACAGUGAUGUAAGACUCCUGGGGCUUCCUUCCUCCUCCUCCUCACACCCACCUCCCCCCUUUGCCUCAUUCUUUUAAGCUGCUCAAGAACUUGCAGUUCCAUUAUUUACUUUCCACAUACUUAUAUAUGCUCAGGGACAGGCAGGAUGCUUAGUAAAAUGGUGCGACCUAACUGGGGAUUCAUGGUUUUCAAGUGAAGAACUGCAACAAUACUGUAGGGAUCAAGGGAAGCUUCUAAAAACUGUAGAAGGGAACUCACGUCAUGCAACAGCUGUGUUAUUCAGCAACAGGAACAUAUUAGGAGCAAACAUGGUAGUGGUAAUAGUCCAAACUGCUCAUAGCAUAUCAUUGACUGCUCAUUUCUCCAACUUCUUGCUAGAGGAGAUGCUGCAAAGUACUUAUAGAACAGCUGGACUUCCUGUGUGCAGGCACAAUGGAAACAGAGAGAAAUAAGGGAUUUGGAGUUCAGAUAGCUUUUCAAAAAGUCCUCGCUCCAUAUAUGAUCUGAAGAAGAACCAUGAAGGGCAAAAUUUAGUGAAGGAAAACAAAAAAAGGGAAAAGCUAAAGGUAGAGGUGUGUUUAGUCUAGGAGAAAAACAUCAAGAGAUUUAUUGUAUAGUGCUGAGAAGUUUAAAUAACAAAAACGUCUUUAGUAUUGAGCGUUAGUUGGUUUGUCUCAGCUGCUUCAUAAAUUACAUUUCCUUCCUGAAGAUACUAACCUGGUCUUUAGAUACAGAAAUUAAGAUAUACUGUAAAUAAAUACCUUUUGUUCUCAAUGAACUUUUAACAUAACACAUGCAUAAUUUGCAUACAGUUUACUUAAAUGUCAUUUGCACAGGGUGUGCAAACCAAGGUAGUUUCAGAACGUCAAAAUUCAUCACAUAACAUUCAGCAUGAAAAUAAGUUGGCUGUUCAUUUACUUCUAUUGUAUAGGAAAGGACAGUCCUUGUGAACAGAGCUUUGCAGAGCUUUUGCUUGGUUGGAAAGGAAGCUAUCGUCUUUCUUGUCUGUGUGGCAUUGAGGUGAGCCUCAAAUUGGAAAUCAAAAGGAUUUAAAUGUUCAGAAUCAGUAUCAUGGCUAAAUAGUAUCCCAUCCCAUAGGACUAAGUGUAAACUAAUGUGCCUGCUCUUUUAUCCCUGCAUACAAUUUGAUAAUUAAUGAUGAUUUUAGAUCAGUUUUUAAAAUUUGGAAAUUGUCAAUAAAUUGUAUUACAUGUUAAAACAUUUUUAGGAGCCAUAGAUUGGAUUCAAAACAUGGAAAAGUAAAGGACUGCACACUAUUGAAAGGAAUAUUACAAAGCUUUCCCCAAGCUGACUGGAAAUUACAGAGGGUAAAUGUGGCAGGCCUGAAGGCCCAACGCAAAAGAUGGCUUCCAGGCCUGACAUCCAGUUUAUUUGGUUGGAAAUGCUUGUCGCUGUGACCCAUCAUGUCAACCUUGACUCUUGGUUAUGGCAAGAAUACUCCCUGUAACUUUAUUGGUAACAUUUUCACAGGUAACGUGCAAAUACUUUCUUCCUAAGGCUGAAGGAGUGUGUCCCAAGGUCACCAGCCAGUUUGUGUGCUUAAGGCAGGGCUAGAACUGGAAAAUCCCAGUUUUUAAUUCAGGAUUUUUAUCCACUACAUCAAACAAGUCUCUGGAAAAAUUAUAGUCUAAAGCACUAAAAAGUCUUUAAACUGCCUAUUUUUGAAAAUAGCUUCAUACUGAACCCUAGCUUCAGUAUGUUGUUGUAUGCAAAACUGUUGAAUGAUAAAAUUAUAGAAAAAUACACUUAAGAAAGAGGGGCAAGUACGCUCAAAUACACUGUAUUUUUUUCUGAAUCAAGUCUGUUGUUAAUCAAAGCCAUUCAUUACAUAUUUAUUUAAAUAAAUAAAUAAUUCAUCAAGUAAAAGCUAGUAUUAUGGAAUUUUAAAAGCCUAUUGAUCAAGCUUAAUUAUGGUCAACAUUUUUAAAUGAAAAAAUGAAGGGCUAAAAUGGGGUUUACGCAUGUUAUUAGCCAAUAAAUAAUAUUGGGGGUUUUGAGAGCAUAUUUCUUGUUCUACAGCCGUGAUGAGAAUUUCAGAUCCAAUCCUAAAAGAUUAGCUACACAACAGCCAGUUAUGGAAAUGGCUCACACUAAGAUGGAAUUGUUUAAUCCUUGAUUUGUGAUAAAUUAGAAUGGCUAGGUUCACACAAUAUAUAAGGCUACAAACUAGCUUACAGAUGACAAUGGGCUUCUUCUGUAUAGCUGGGUUUUAGAAAGGUGCGUCAGUACUAUCAGUGGUAUAGGAAUUGUUUUGAGAAAAGAAAUAAAUAGUUGUUUUUUCUCUGCACUGCCUCCGUUUCACUUAACCACUUAAGAGCAACUGGUUGAUUAGAGUCGCCACUAGAAGAAGUGCAGCAGGGGAUAAAGAAAUGGAUGGAGAGAAGCAGUGGUGAAAUCCAAACUUUUUUACUACCGGUUCUGUGGGCUUGGUGUGGCUUGGUGAGUGUGGCUUGGUGGAUAUGGCAGGGGAAGGAUACUGCAAAAUCCCCAUUCCCUCCCCACUCCUGGGGGAAGGAUAUUACAAAAUCUCCAUUCCCACCCCACUCGGGCCAGCCAGAGGUGGCAUUUGCUGGUUCUCUGAACUGCUCAAAAUUUCUGCUACCGGUUUUCCAGAACCUAUCAGAACCUGCUGGAUUUCACACCUGGAGAGAAGCCUAUGGAAUUUGGCCGCUGCCAAACCUAUGGAAUUGGCCGCUGCCAAUACUGCACUUUCAGGCAGACCUACAAAUCCUGUUAUUAGGAUAUUGCUGAGACAGCAGAAAGGGAAUGCAAUCCCUAGGAUACUAUAGGAGAAGAAAGCUGCAACAAUAAGUGGAUGGCUUUUCAAGCACAAGAUUUCUUAAUUAAUGUUAUUCUCAAAAUUACUGCUCAAGACAUGAAUGGAGAGAAUACACCAAGCAAGAAGAAGAUACAGAACUUUCAGAUCUAAUGAAUCUACAAAGAGUUAAAGCAGCCAAGAGGUAUUGAUCUACCUUGAAGAAUAUACAUAAUAUACAUAAUGCACAGAGACUCCUAAUGGCACUCUCACUACAGAAAUGAGUAUUCUGAAAUUUCCAGCUUAAUAAAACUAAUCCU
Molecule: non-coding RNA, 3584 nt
Organism: Pantherophis guttatus
Lineage: Eukaryota; Metazoa; Chordata; Lepidosauria; Squamata; Colubridae
Source: RefSeq, a predicted model, not a curated record